GAUGAACGCUGGCGGCGUGCCUAAUACAUGCAAGUCGAGCGAACAGACGAGGAGCUUGCUCCUCUGACGUUAGCGGCGGACGGGUGAGUAACACGUGGAUAACCUACCUAUAAGACUGGGAUAACUUCGGGAAACCGGAGCUAAUACCGGAUAAUAUAUUGAACCGCAUGGUUCAAUAGUAAAAGACGGCUUUGCUGUCACUUCUCGAUGGAUCCGCGCCGCAUUAGCUAGUUGGUAAGGUAACGGCUUACCAAGGCAACGAUGCGUAGCCGACCUGAGAGGGUGAUCGGCCACACUGGAACGGAGACACGGUCCAGACUCCUACGGGAGGCAGCAGUAGGGAAUCUUCCGCAAUGGGCGAAAGCCUGACGGAGCAACGCCGCGUGAGUGAUGAAGGUCUUCGGAUCGUAAAACUCUGUUAUUAGGGAAGAACAAAUGUGUACGUAACUAUGCACGUCUUGACGGUACCUAAUCAGAAAGCCACGGCUAACUACGUG
RNAcentral lists this ribosomal RNA (497 nucleotides) under uncultured bacterium. RNAcentral's name for it is "partial 16S ribosomal RNA". It matches the Rfam family "Bacterial small subunit ribosomal RNA", at positions 28 to 507 of the family's 1533-position model. The record is from RNAcentral.